This 73-nucleotide transfer RNA is filed under the name Plutella xylostella (diamondback moth). RNAcentral's name for it is "tRNA-Glu". The record is from RNAcentral. Lineage: Eukaryota; Metazoa; Arthropoda; Insecta; Lepidoptera; Plutellidae.
ACCGGUGGUAGCUCAGUCGGGUGAGCGCCCGCAUCUCACGCCAGAGAUGCGGGUUCGAAUCCCGGCGCUGACA